RNAcentral lists this ribosomal RNA (438 nucleotides) under uncultured bacterium. RNAcentral describes it as "bacterial SSU rRNA". It matches the Rfam family "Bacterial small subunit ribosomal RNA", at positions 917 to 1350 of the family's 1533-position model. The record is from RNAcentral.
GGGCUCACACAAGCGGUGGAGGAUGUGGCUUAAUUCGAGGCUACGCGAAGAACCUUAUCCUAGAUUUGACAUGCUUGAGAAUUCCUUCGAAAGAAGGAAGUGCCCCUCGGGGAGCUUUUGCACAGGUGCUGCAUGGCUGUCGUCAGCUCGUGUCGUGAGAUGUCGGGUUAAGUCCCUUAACGAGCGAAACCCUUAUCUCUAGUUGCCAGCGGGUAAUGCCGGGGACUCUAGAGAGACUGCCGGUGUCAAACCGGAGGAAGGUGGGGAUGACGUCAAGUCCUCAUGGCCUUUAUGUCUAGGGCUGCACACGUCCUACAAUGGUACGGACAAACGGACGCGAAACCGCGAGGUGGAGCAAAUCCUAAAAACCGUGCCUCAGUUCGGAUUGCAGGCUGCAACUCGCCUGCAUGAAGCCGGAAUCGCUAGUAAUCGCAGGUC